Molecule: transfer RNA, 100 nt
Organism: Pseudocercospora fijiensis CIRAD86
Lineage: Eukaryota; Fungi; Ascomycota; Dothideomycetes; Mycosphaerellales; Mycosphaerellaceae
Rfam family: tRNA
About the family: Transfer RNA (tRNA) molecules are approximately 80 nucleotides in length. Their secondary structure includes four short double-helical elements and three loops (D, anti-codon, and T loops).
Source: Rfam
GCCGGGGUAGCUCAAUCGGUAGAGCGUGUGGCUCUUAUGAUGGGUUUCCAAUCCAGAAAAGAACACCUCAAGGUCGUGGGUUCGAGCCCCACCUUCGGCU